Molecule: long non-coding RNA, 1122 nt
Organism: Alexandromys fortis (reed vole)
Lineage: Eukaryota; Metazoa; Chordata; Mammalia; Rodentia; Cricetidae
Exons: 3
Source: RefSeq, a predicted model, not a curated record
GGGGCUGGAGAGAGGAGCUAGGGGAAUGAUGUAAUACUUUAAUUAAAAAAAUAGAUAUCUUUUAACUAGUGGAAAAUAGGAUUAUGUGUGCAUGGUAGUGCCCUCAUAUUAAGUGUUCACAGGAAGACCAGAAACAAUGUGUCACAAUGUCCUUGCUGAACAAGAAAUGAGCGAUAAUGCUUCCUCCUUUUCCUCCUCCUCCCCUUCCUCUUCUUCCUCUGCUCGCUCAUUCUUCUUUUUCUCAGUCCGGACAUUUUUUUGGUAUCUGUUUUUAACUGCCGAGGAGAAAUGCAGGCUUGAGGCCUAAGGGAAAACAGUCUCAUAAAAUCCUGAGAGGAUGUGGGGCGGGGUCUUCUGCACCGAGUUUGCUUGCUCAGCGCGGCGAUUGUGCUUCCCCUUUCUUUAAUUGUGAUGCUUUCUGUGGAAAUGGAUGCUGCAGUUCUUCAGAGCACCACGUACUCCCUGUCUGCCUGGCCCCUCGACACAGCUGUUAUCUGCCAGACCCAGUAAGAGUACCGAAAGGGGCUGAAGUGAUGGCUUGCUGCUUAGGAACAUGGGCUGGUCUUCCUUGGGAACCGGGCUCCAUCCACAUCCUCUGUGACAUCAGUCCCAGUGGAUCCAUCUCACUCAGGAGACCAUGACAGUCUGGAUCAGGUGUGGAGAGCUGUGCCAUCUGUGGUCCAGAGACCUAAGAACUAUCCCUGGCAUCUCUGCAAUGUCCUCCAGAGCAAGACAGAUACCCACACUGGAGCACCAGACUGAGCUCCCAAGGUCCCAAUGAGGAGCAGAAGGAGGGAGAACAUGAGCAAGGAAGUCAGGACCACGAGGGGUGCACCCAUCCACGGAGACAGUGGGGCUGAUCUAUUGGGAGCUCAUAAAGGCCAGCUGGUCUAUGACUGAAAAAGCAAGGGAUAAAACCGGACUCUCUGAACAUGGCGGACAAUGAGGACUGAUGAGAAGCCAAGGACAAUGGCACGGGGUUUUGGUCCUACUUCAUGUUCUGGCUUUGUGGGAGCCUAACCAAUUUGGAUGUUCACCUUCCUAGACCUGGAUGGAGGGGGGACGACCUUGGAUUUUCCACGGGGCAGGGAACCCUGACUGCUAUUUGGACUGUAGAGGGAG